UCCCCAUGCUUCCCAGCGCCCCUCCCCGCCCCCGACCUCGAGGCGAAUUGGCUCCGCCGUGCCAAACCCGCCGCCGCCGCCGCUCCCGAGCGCACGCCUUCAGCCCCAGCCAAACCCCCUCGCCGCCGGGCCGGACGGAGGGGGACGCUGCUGGCCAGGCUGAGCUUUGCUGCAACCACGUGUCACUCGCAGCCUGCCUGUCACCCACAACCACAACAACAACAAGAAGAAGAACAAGGAAGCCUGCGGGGGAAAAUCUCCUUCUCCCCUUGGAUCGCCCUGGGGGAAGGCGCCCCUUUCCUGAUCCAGGCUGGUUGCAGCAAUGGAAGAAAAUAGCUUGGGCACCCUGCAACAGAGGGCAGCUGAGCUGGAGUGCAUGGCCGAGGUUCUUCUGACAGGGGAACAGCUAAGACGUGGCCAGUUCAGGUUUUUCUGACAGAAGAUUACAAGUGUGGCCUGUGUGAUCACAGCUCAGACCAAAACAAGUUUCUCCUUACAGGAUUAUCCCUUAAGGUUUUGAUCUGUAUGGAAGAUAGCAAAGGACCUGAAUGUUUGGAAACGAGAAAGAAAAGCUGGGAGGAAAAAGCAAAAAGAACUGAAAACUUCUCCAAGACAAGACAAUCGGCAUGGUACAGGUAGUCCGCAACUUACAACAGUUCAUUUACUGACCGUUCAAAGUAACAACAGCACUGAAUAAAGUGACUUACGGCCGUUUUUCACACUUA
Notechis scutatus (mainland tiger snake) is the source of this 725-nucleotide non-coding RNA. The record is from RefSeq and is a predicted model, not a curated record. NCBI's taxonomy places the organism in Eukaryota, Metazoa, Chordata, Lepidosauria, Squamata, Elapidae.